UACAGGACUAAGUUCACCGGCUGAUUGAAAACAUCAAGUCUGCCAGUGUCUCAGCAAUCACUGCUGACAAGGCGUAACUUGAGAUGUCCCCACAAGGAACAGCAAGAUGGACAAUUGUAGCAUUAUAGUAAAUGUGAAGAGCAGUCGUAUAGAAGAAGACGGGGAAGGGAAGAAGAGGCCAGGGUGUGAAAGAUUUUAAAAGCCAAGCAGGAGUUGACAUGGAAGGGGAGACCUGGGCAUUGAGGGUGACAGGUUGUGAGCAGCCUCAGUCUCUCCAAAUUAUACCACCACCAAGACCUCAAACAGAUUCUAAUGCUACUGAUCUUUCAACUGCUCCCUUUGAUUUCACACUCAACUGAAUCUUGGCCCUCUUUGUGACCUCCAAGCCUGUGGCCCAACCCUGUUCAAUCAGUUCGUCUCCCCAACUUUGACUUCACUUGCUUUCCAAAGCCAUUUUGACCUCAUGGCCAUUCAUUUGCUUUAAUGUUCCACCAUUUAGUAUCCUAGAAUUCUUUGCCCCCCGUGACCAUCUCCCCAUCUGGAUGAAUCCUCAGACUUGAGUAAAUCCAACCAUCUGGUUUCUCCACUUGUGUUCCAGGGCCUCUUUUGUAACUUGGGAGAAAGUUAUAAAGUCAGACUUCACAAAGUUGUGAUAUCUAAGUUCAGCUAGGCUUCAUGCUUCUGCCCCUUCCUUUCCCUUUACCCGUUUUUUAGUUUGUUCUUCACAGCAUGGGAUCUGAAUUUUCUCUUGUUUCUACCUGCACCCUCCAACUUCAUCCAACAUGUGCUUCCUCAGCCCACCUGCCAUCAAAUUUCUCAGCAUUAUCCACGCUCUCCUAUCCUCAGGUCACAGAAGAGGUAUCUACUCUGCACUAAGGGCCAGCCAAAGCUCUAACUCCUUCUGGAAGGCUUGACCACCACAGCCCACAGAGUGCCCUUCUGGAAUCCUCCUAACUCCUGCAGC
This is a non-coding RNA of Phascolarctos cinereus (koala), 964 nucleotides long. The record is from RefSeq and is a predicted model, not a curated record. NCBI's taxonomy places the organism in Eukaryota, Metazoa, Chordata, Mammalia, Diprotodontia, Phascolarctidae.